UACGUAGGGUGCAGGCGUUAAUCGGAAUUACUGGGCGUAAAGCGUGCGCAGGCGGUUUGUUAAGACAGAUGUGAAAUCCCCGGGCUUAACCUGGGAACCGCAUUUGUGACUGCAUAGCUGGAGUACGGCAGAGGGGGAUGGAAUUCCGCGUGUAGCAGUGAAAUGCGUAGAUAUGCGGAGGAACACCGAUGGCGAAGGCAGUCCCCUGGGCCUGUACUGACGCUCAUGCACGAAAGCGUGGGGAGCAAACAGG
This 253-nucleotide ribosomal RNA is filed under the name uncultured bacterium. RNAcentral describes it as "partial 16S ribosomal RNA". It matches the Rfam family "Bacterial small subunit ribosomal RNA", at positions 524 to 776 of the family's 1533-position model. The record is from RNAcentral.